UCUCUGUACUCCACGGCCUCUUCCUCCCGACCUCUUUCUUCCCGAAUCGCGUCCGACGAGGAAGAAGAAUUAAAAGGGGCCGUUGUCCUGAUUUUUGCUAACGAGCUGAAAGAAGAAGAAAACCCUAGUCACUCGCUUCGUUCCCUCAGCUUAGCAGACUGUACGUCUCCUCUUGCAGUCAGCCUUCCUUAGUCAAGAAUCUAGUUGAAAUAGAGAGAAGAUGGGUAACCUGUGCUGCAGUGUUGAAGUUCCUAAAUCAACAGUAGCAAUCCAGCAAAAAUUUGGCAGGCAUCACAAAAAUCUGUAUGUUGGACGCCAUUGUUCUCCUUGGAUUUGCGGAUAUGAAGUUGUUGGUGAGCUAUCACUCAGAAUCCAGCAGUUGGAUGAUGUGAAAUGCAGUUCGAAGACCAAGGACAAUGAAAAUGUAGAUGUUAUUGCAUCAGUGCGAUAUAAAGUUGACAGGGUCUAUGAGGCCUUUUACACUUAUGAUAAUCCGAGGGAGCUAAUUCGGGAUUGCACGAAGCAUGCGAUUGGAUGUUACAUUGAAAGAUGCAACUUGGAUGAACUUAGUGACCUAGAACAAAUUUCCGCAUGUGUCAUACGAGAGUCAAAGAGCUUUUGGAUGACUCUGGAUAUGCUAUUGUGGAAGCCGUAAUUGUGGACAUAAAAUGGGAUACGCUUCUUGAGAAUCCUAUGAUGGAAAUCAAUGCUGGUAGGCAUAGGAAAUGACCGACUUCUAUGAAUGCAGAUCAUCUUUUGGGGUGCAAAUGUUCAGGAGAGUAGGAGACGACCUUUAACAACUAAGCUGUCCUUGCUGCUGCGGCCACCGAUUCUGCUGGUUGUCAUCCUGACUCUAUUAUCUCUUUAGCCUCAGUCAAGUUGAACCAGAGACUCUUGAUUUCAAGCAGUAGGGAUGGAGCUAUUAAGGUUUGGAAGUAAAUAAACUAUGCAUAACUUUACUAAUUGUAUAUAUGUAGAGUCAACUUAGUUGAACUAAUCCUCCAUGAAUUUUUUCUUAUAGUCCAGUGAUACAGUCUGUUCAGAGUAGUAACAUAUAUUGUCAGUCAGGAAUUCGCCUUGUUUA
Eucalyptus grandis is the source of this 1084-nucleotide long non-coding RNA. RefSeq lists it as uncharacterized. NCBI's taxonomy places the organism in Eukaryota, Viridiplantae, Streptophyta, Magnoliopsida, Myrtales, Myrtaceae. The transcript is spliced from 8 exons. The record is from RefSeq and is a predicted model, not a curated record.